Gallus gallus (chicken) is the source of this 979-nucleotide long non-coding RNA. RefSeq lists it as uncharacterized. The record is from RefSeq and is a predicted model, not a curated record. NCBI's taxonomy places the organism in Eukaryota, Metazoa, Chordata, Aves, Galliformes, Phasianidae. The transcript has 3 exons.
CUGAGCUUUGCUGGGCUGUACAGUGGCUGAGCUCAAUUGAUACGGUGCCGAGGUGCUGCGGUCGGCGUCUGCUGGAGAUCUUCAGAUGGAGGAUCUUGGCAGCGGAGGGUGACUUUAUGACUUCAAAACUCUCAGCAGGAUAAUGCUGUUUCAAAUGAAGAAGCAGAAUGAAGAAGCCUUUGUGUAGACUCGCAUCAGGUCUCCCAUGCUAAGAUUGCAUUGACCUUCACGAGGUGCCUGGAGGAGCAACUGCUGGAGUUGACAGGACCCUGUGUAUGCCAGCGUCUGUGGAGGUUCAGGGCUGUGUAACAGCUCACGACAUCUGCUCCAUCAUGAUGCCAAACAUCUUCAGCAAGAAAAUGGAACAGUGGCUCAACCUGCAGCUCUGCCAGAACAGCCUCCAUCUCUCUCUCCAUCAAGGUGAGCAAGGUCUGUUUCCUACCAGAGCUCGUUCUGUAGCACAUCUACAAAAGAGUGCAGUUUUUUGUGAGUUGACCCUAUUUGUAAGACCACAAACCACCCUCACAUGCCUGACACGAUGCACCAUGUCAGCAGCGACGGGAUGGAGUUGGGAAAAGCUCUGCAGGGCACAGAUGAAAUGCUCCCUGCUCUUGGUAAGACGAGGAGUGAUAACAAUAUUAUCCGGGAACUUUCCCCUUCCGCCUACCACUGCCACCUCCUCUCUCUCAAAAACACAAACAAGACAACCUGAUUUACAUGUUCAUAGCUGGGAGUGAUUGCCAGCUUAAUGAGCACUGCUAUUUAUAUCUAAAUAAUUGCACUCCUAAACAACUGCUUGGGGGGCAUCAGGAUGGAGGGAAAGAUUCUGUGCCAUGGUUUGAAGGGAUUCAGGCAGAUGUUGUCAGAAGGAGGAAUGCACAUCUCAUCCAAACUGCAAAAACAUUUUAAUGUGUUUUAGACAAACGGAGGGAAGCUGAACAAAGAGAGGCAUUGGAGCAGUGACACCGUAUAUGCAGAC